GCCCGGAUAGCUCAGUCGGUAGAGC
This 25-nucleotide non-coding RNA is filed under the name Bombyx mori (domestic silkworm). RNAcentral also lists the same sequence under 13 other names. The record is from RNAcentral. Lineage: Eukaryota; Metazoa; Arthropoda; Insecta; Lepidoptera; Bombycidae.